UACGAAGGGUGCAAACGUUGCUCGGAAUCAUUGGGCGUAAAGAGCUCGUAGGCGGUCUGUCGCGUCGGCUGUGAAAACUCGGGGCUCAACCCCGAGCCUGCAGUCGAUACGGGCAGACUAGAGUGCGGUAGGGGAGACUGGAAUUCCUGGUGUAGCGGUGAAAUGCGCAGAUAUCAGGAGGAACACCGGUGGCGAAGGCGGGUCUCUGGGCCGUAACUGACGCUGAGGAGCGAAAGCGUGGGGAGCAAACAGG
RNAcentral lists this ribosomal RNA (253 nucleotides) under uncultured bacterium. RNAcentral's name for it is "partial 16S ribosomal RNA". It matches the Rfam family "Bacterial small subunit ribosomal RNA", at positions 524 to 776 of the family's 1533-position model. The record is from RNAcentral.